RNAcentral lists this ribosomal RNA (563 nucleotides) under uncultured bacterium. RNAcentral's name for it is "bacterial SSU rRNA". It matches the Rfam family "Bacterial small subunit ribosomal RNA", at positions 340 to 920 of the family's 1533-position model. The record is from RNAcentral.
UACGGGAGGCAGCAGUGGGGAAUAUUGCACAAUGGGGGAAACCCUGAUGCAGCGACGCCGCGUGGAGGAAGAAGGUCUUCGGAUUGUAAACUCCUGUUGUUGAGGAAGAUAAUGACGGUACUCAACAAGGAAGUGACGGCUAANUACGUGCCAGCAGCCGCGGUAAAACGUAGGUCNCAAGCGUUGUCCGGAAUUACUGGGUGUAAAGGGAGCGCAGGCGGGAAGACAAGUUGGAAGUGAAAUCCAUGGGCUCAACCCAUGAACUGCUUUCAAAACUGUUUUUCUUGAGUAGUGCAGAGGUAGGCGGAAUUCCCGGUGUAGCGGUGGAAUGCGUAGAUAUCGGGAGGAACACCAGUGGCGAAGGCGGCCUACUGGGCACCAACUGACGCUGAGGCUCGAAAGUGUGGGUAGCAAACAGGAUUAGAUACCCUGGUAGUCCACACUGUAAACGAUGAUUACUAGGUGUUGGAGGAUUGACCCCUUCAGUGCCGCAGUUAACACAAUAAGUAAUCCACCUGGGGAGUACGACCGCNNGGUUGAAACUCNAAGGAAUUGACGGACUC